RNAcentral lists this ribosomal RNA (238 nucleotides) under uncultured bacterium. Its description in RNAcentral is "partial 16S ribosomal RNA". It matches the Rfam family "Bacterial small subunit ribosomal RNA", at positions 95 to 334 of the family's 1533-position model. The record is from RNAcentral.
CCGGCGCACGGGUGAGUAACGCGUAUGUAAUCUACCUGUAACAGAGGGAUAUCCCGGAGAAAUCCGGACUAAUACCUCAUAGCACAUAUUAUUCGCAUGAAUUUUAUGUUAAAGAGACUCGGUUACAGAUGAACAUGCGUUCCAUUAGCUAGUUGGCGGGGUUACGGCCCACCAAGGCAACGAUGGAUAGGGGUUCUGAGAGGAAGGUCCCCCACACUGGUACUGAGACACGGACCAG